Molecule: ribosomal RNA, 304 nt
Filed under: uncultured Sulfurimonas sp.
Lineage: Bacteria; Pseudomonadati; Campylobacterota; Epsilonproteobacteria; Campylobacterales; Sulfurimonadaceae
Description: bacterial SSU rRNA
Rfam family: Bacterial small subunit ribosomal RNA
Source: RNAcentral
AAUGAACGCUGGCGGCGUGCUUAACACAUGCAAGUCGAACGAUGAAGCCUAGCUUGCUAGGUGGAUUAGUGGCGCACGGGUGAGUAAUAUAUAGAUAAUGUGCCCCUUAGUCUGGGAUAGCCAUUGGAAACGAUGAUUAAUACUAGAUACUCCUUCUUACUCUAAUGUAAGUUGGGAAAGUUUUUCGCUAAGGGAUCAGUCCAUAUCGCAUCAGUUAGUUGGUGGGGUAAUGGCCUACCAAGACAAUGACGCGUAGCGGGUUUGAGAGGAUGAUCCGCCACACUGGUACUGAGACACGGACCAG